UACGUAGGGUGCAAGCGUUGUCCGGAAUUAUUGGGCGUAAAGAGCUCGUAGGUGGUUCGUCGCGUCGGCUGUGAAAACCCGGAGCUCAACUCCGGGCCUGCAGUCGAUACGGGCGGACUUGAGUGUUGCAGGGGAGACUGGAAUUCCUGGUGUAGCGGUGAAAUGCGCAGAUAUCAGGAGGAACACCGGUGGCGAAGGCGGGUCUCUGGGCAACUACUGACGCUGAGGAGCGAAAGCGUGGGGAGCGAACAGG
This 253-nucleotide ribosomal RNA is filed under the name uncultured bacterium. RNAcentral's name for it is "partial 16S ribosomal RNA". It matches the Rfam family "Bacterial small subunit ribosomal RNA", at positions 524 to 776 of the family's 1533-position model. The record is from RNAcentral.